UACGGAGGGGGCAAGCGUUAUUCGGAAUCAUUGGGCGUAAAGGGCGCGUAGGCGGCCUGGCAAGUCAAAGGUGAAAUCCCUCGGCCCAACCGAGGAACUGCCUUUGAAACUGCAAGGCUUGAGGCCGGGAGAGGGUAGCGGAAUUCCCAGUGUAGCGGUGAAAUGCGUAGAUAUCUGGAGGAAUACCGGUGGCGAAGGCGGCAUCCUGGACCGGCAUUGACGCUGAGGAGCGAAAGCCAGGGGAGCAAACGGG
Molecule: ribosomal RNA, 253 nt
Filed under: uncultured bacterium
Lineage: Bacteria
Description: partial 16S ribosomal RNA
Rfam family: Bacterial small subunit ribosomal RNA
Source: RNAcentral